UAAUACGAAGGGCCCGAGCGUUGCGCGGAAUCACUGGGCUUAAAGCGUACGUAGGCGGACAGACAGGCGUCUUGUGAAAUCCCUCGGCUCAACCGAGGAAUUGCUCGGCGAACCGUCUGUCUUGAGGCAAGUAGGGGCUGUCGGAACGAUAGGUGGAGUGGUGAAAUGCGUUGAUAUCUAUCGGAACGCCGAAGGAGAAAUCAGGCAGCUGGGCUUGUCCUGACGCUGAGGUACGAAAGCGUGGGGAGCGAACGGGAUUAGAUACCCCGGUAGUCCACGCCGUAAACGAUGUGCACUAGAUCGAGGGGGUUCUGACACCGCUCUCGGUCGAAGCGAAAGUGUUAAGUGCACCGCCUGGGGAGUACGGUCGCAAGGCUA
Molecule: ribosomal RNA, 378 nt
Filed under: uncultured Phycisphaerae bacterium
Lineage: Bacteria; Pseudomonadati; Planctomycetota; Phycisphaerae
Description: bacterial SSU rRNA
Rfam family: Bacterial small subunit ribosomal RNA
Source: RNAcentral